RNAcentral lists this long non-coding RNA (521 nucleotides) under Gallus gallus (chicken). The record is from RNAcentral. Lineage: Eukaryota; Metazoa; Chordata; Aves; Galliformes; Phasianidae.
GCUUUUUCAUCUUACCAACAUCACUGUUUGCCAGAAGACUGAGCGGGUCAACGUCCUUCAUGCAUGGCUGAGUCUCCAAAGCAGGCUGUUUUUCAUGUUCUUUUUCACAUGUACUGUUUCCUGGUCCAUUAGCUUCAUUUUGAUUUCUUUGUGAUGGUACAUUACUAUCAACACCAUUCUUCUUGAAUUUCUUCCAGAACUGACGCUUCUGUUUUCUCUUCUGUCUUCCUUGCUGCCCAGACCUCUCAUCUUCUGUAGCUUUCCACAUCCCCUUCAUUUUGCCAAACUGCGGGGUGGUGAGGACUUCUCCUCUUUCCUCCUUCUCCAUCUGCAUUACUUUCUUCUUUUCAAUGUUUGCUAAUGUAGGAAAAUUUUUUUUUCUUUCUUCUCUCCAUCUGGCAAUCUCUUCUGGACUAUCUAAUUUUAUUCUUUUAGCACCAGGUCCAUGUACAUUCUUCCAGUGUAUCUGAACUAACUUCUCAUGUGCAUUGAAAUUGCAUCCUUCUUCUGUGCACUGCAAG